AUCAGAAUGUCGCGGUGAAUACGUUCCCGGGCCUUGUACACACCGCCCGUCACACCAUGAGAGUUGGCAAUACCCAAAGUUCGUGAGCUAACGCGUAAGCGGGGCAGCGACCUAAGGUAGGGUCAGCGAUUGGGGUGAAGUCGUAACAAGGUAGCCGUAGGAGAACCUGCGGCUGGAUCACCUCCUUU
RNAcentral lists this ribosomal RNA (188 nucleotides) under Clostridium beijerinckii. Its description in RNAcentral is "partial 16S ribosomal RNA". It matches the Rfam family "Bacterial small subunit ribosomal RNA", at positions 1348 to 1533 of the family's 1533-position model. Lineage: Bacteria; Bacillati; Bacillota; Clostridia; Eubacteriales; Clostridiaceae. The record is from RNAcentral.